GCUGAUCAGUGAUGCAAGCCAGCAGAAACUUUACAUCAACGUCAUCAAGAUGUGUCCGAUCAAUCGUACGAUUAUAUACUCAGCGAUUGAAAAGUUCGUGAUCCUGGAUAGGAGAGGAGCGGAUCGUCAACAUGCAGGGUUGUUUUAAGAUCCAAAGCAAUGUUACACAGACAGAAGAAUAGGUGAAUGCUGCUCCAGUAUAUGUUGUAUAUAUGAUGGCUAUAGCAAUAACAUACAUGUAUAUCACUUGGGAAAUCAUGCACAACAAACUGUCCAUAUGAUGAUACCACGUUGACAAAGAUAUUUAAAUAUGGAGAGGGAUAAAGAGACAUGCUACAGAAGAAGGAAGAUAAAGGCACAUGAUACAGACACCAGAGUGAUUACACCAACAUCAGUCCAGUAACAUUGGUACACACUGAAACUUGAGACCACAAAGGCCUGGAUUCUUUUGAAAUAUACUGUCAUCUGUGCAAUAUCACUUGGAAUCAUGGAAAACUUGAAUCACAGUGUUAACAAUUUUCAGUGAAUUUUCAAUGUCUAGCAUAGAAAUAAUUAAUUUUAUGUUUGAAUAUAUAGCUGGAAAUUUUCCUAUAUGUAAUUCACUUACUGCGUUCAACAGGUUUGGUACACGCAAACUCAUAAAUUGUAUCUCAAAAACAUAAGACUUAAAGUAUGUAUCCUAAAUAAUGACCAAUGCAAUCAGCACAGUAUUACACAUGUAAUAAAAUCUUAAUGUUUACUGACCUUCUAAGAAGAGAGAUAUAACUCUCAGUUGGUGUGAAUGACUAUUGUAAAGGCAAAGUUUUACAUGUUUACAUAAACAAAGACUUUGAAAGU
Molecule: long non-coding RNA, 837 nt
Organism: Magallana angulata
Lineage: Eukaryota; Metazoa; Mollusca; Bivalvia; Ostreida; Ostreidae
Exons: 3
Source: RefSeq, a predicted model, not a curated record